Drosophila arizonae is the source of this 492-nucleotide unclassified non-coding RNA. NCBI's taxonomy places the organism in Eukaryota, Metazoa, Arthropoda, Insecta, Diptera, Drosophilidae. The record is from RefSeq and is a predicted model, not a curated record.
CUGGCAUUCGGUUCAAUUAGACAUACCAUACGUACAAUAUAUGAAGUGAACUUCAACCUAGUAUAUUUCAAUUGUAUUUUUGUUCGUUUGUUGUGAUUGUGCUUCUUCGUUUAACGCCUAUCAGUCUUUCUUUUUGCGCAAUAUAUACAAACAUAUGUACAGACGAACACACAAAUAAAUAUUAACAUACAUAUAUAACGCUACUCGGCGCGCGGUUAAGCAAAUAAAGACCCUGUAUAUAUAAAUACAUAUAUACAUAUACAAAUAUAUGCGCGUGUGUGUGCAAAUAUGCAACAACAAAAUAUAUUACAUGAACUGGAGUGAACUAUACUUAAAUAAACCAAAAAGUCUGCAGUUUUAAUGCCAAACCAAUUAAAGUCUUAUCAUAAUGGCGGGCUUAUUUCGUACGAACUCUGUGAUCGGCACAAAUGAUUCCCCUAAAAGAUCACCAUUUAAACGAUUUUCGGUUUGUUCUGGAACGCCGAGCACUAU